GUACCUUCAAGCUUUGCUUGGUGUUGGGCGUCUUUUUUGUCUUGGGCCUUUGUGCCCUGAGACUCGCCUUAAAACGAUUGGCAGCCGGCCUACUGGUUUCGGAGCGCAGCACAUUUUUGCGCUUGCAAUCAGCAAAAGAGGCCAGCCAUCCAUCAAGACCAUUCUUCUCAC
This 171-nucleotide unclassified non-coding RNA is filed under the name Curvularia sp. RNAcentral describes it as "partial internal transcribed spacer 2". RNAcentral also lists the same sequence under 1 other name. Lineage: Eukaryota; Fungi; Ascomycota; Dothideomycetes; Pleosporales; Pleosporaceae. The record is from RNAcentral.